GUGGUUGUACAUUGUUAUAAGGUUAUGGGUCUGUUAUCCAUCCAUAAAAAUUAUGGUUUUGUGUCUAAUUUGGGUAAUUAAUAGAGCCUUAUGAAAUGUUUACACAUUUUAUUGGCAUAUUACUUUGGUUAUAUGCCAAGGUCUGAUAUAGUACUUUUGUCCCCCUCCCCCUCAAUACAAAGUUUUUGGGGUGUAUAGGAAUAUGACUUUCAAAGCAACCAUUAUCAGGGCCUUUUAUAGCUGACUAUAUGCGGUAUGGGCUUUGCUCAUUGUUGAAGGCCGUAUGGUGACCUAUAAUUGUUAAUGUUUGUGUCAUUUUGGUCUUUUGUGGAUAGUUGUCUCAUUGGCAAUCAUACCACAUCUUCUUUUUUAUAUUAUUCUUUAUAUUUAUAUAUAUAGAGAGAGAAAGGGUAUAUAUAUAUAUAUAUCUUUUCAGAAACCAAUCCAAAGAUUGAAUCAACUAAUUUUUUUUUCAGCUACAUGUAAAUACAUCAUCAUCCAUAGCAGACCAUUGUUGUUC
RNAcentral lists this long non-coding RNA (520 nucleotides) under Mytilus galloprovincialis (Mediterranean mussel). Lineage: Eukaryota; Metazoa; Mollusca; Bivalvia; Mytilida; Mytilidae. The record is from RNAcentral.